Long non-coding RNA from Lingula anatina, 516 nucleotides. The record is from RefSeq and is a predicted model, not a curated record. Lineage: Eukaryota; Metazoa; Brachiopoda; Lingulata; Lingulida; Lingulidae.
GUGAGCAGACAGCCUUUCUUUUGCUUGUGGGAUCUGCUGACGUUGCUCCUCUCUGUUAAGGCCUGCGUUUAUUUUUUAAUUUCAUUGAGUUACUUUGAGAUAAAAUAAUUUCCAGCUUGAUUUACAAGGGAGACAGCUACAAAGAUGAGGCAGCUAAAAGGGAAAGUGAAAGAGAACAAGAAAGAAAAGAGAGAAAGAAGAAUGGACAAUUUAAAGAAUAAGGAAAGGAUAUACACAGUUGUGCUUCCAGUGUUCUUCACAAUAGCGACUCUGAUUGCUUUGUAUGUAUAUGUUAAUACAAGACCAAAGAUUCAAAACUGAAGAGAAAGAUGGCAGAAGAUUUGUGUUGUUCCCAAUUCAAAAGAACAGGAAAUUUAAGGACCAAAGCUUACGCUUACAACUGUUAUACCUAAACCAUUCUGACUUUGUUAAAUGUACAAGGGCUUCCUAAUUUUUCCUUAACAGCUGUGCCUUGCAUAUAUUUUCAUAUUCAGAUUUUUCUACUCUUAACUAUUU